This 74-nucleotide transfer RNA is filed under the name Bacillota bacterium. Its description in RNAcentral is "Firmicutes bacterium (gut metagenome) tRNA-Pro". It matches the Rfam family "tRNA". From Rfam's summary of the family: Transfer RNA (tRNA) molecules are approximately 80 nucleotides in length. Lineage: Bacteria; Bacillati; Bacillota. The record is from RNAcentral. RNAcentral also lists the same sequence under 1 other name.
CGGGGUGUGGCGUAGCUUGGUAGCGCGCAUGAAUGGGGUUCAUGAGGUCGCAAGUUCAAAUCUUGUCACCCCGA